AGGGGNAAGNNGUUUNNNNUUNCCCNCUGCUCAGAUUGAACGCUCGGCGGACGUAGCUUUAGCCCCGUGCNCAAGUCGAACGGCAGCAUGAUUUGGGGUUGNCUAGAUUGAUGGCUUGUGGCGAACGGGUGAGUAAUACAUCGGAACGUGCCCUGUAGUGGGGGAUAACUAGUCGAAAGAUUAGCUAAUACCGCAUACGACCUGAGGGUGAAAGUGGGGGACCGCAAGGCCUCAUGCUAUAGGAGCGGCCGAUGUCUGAUUAGCUAGUUGGUGAGGUAAAGGCUCACCAAGGCGACGAUCAGUAGCUGGUCUGAGAGGACGAUCAGCCACACUGGGACUGAGACACGGCCCAGACUCCUACGGGAGGCAGCAGUGGGGAAUUUUGGACAAUGGGCGAAAGCCUGAUCCAGCAAUGCCGCGUGUGUGAAGAAGGCCUUCGGGUUGUAAAGCACUUUUGUCCGGAAAGAAAUGGCUCUGGUUAAUACCUGGGGUCGAUGACGGUACCGGAAGAAUAAGGACCGGCUAACUACGUGCCAGCAGCCGCGGUAAUACGUAGGGUCCAAGCGUUAAUCGGAAUUACUGGGCGUAAAGCGUGCGCAGGCGGUUGUGCAAGACCGAUGUGAAAUCCCCGAGCUUAACUUGGGAAUUGCAUUGGUGACUGCACGGCUAGAGUGUGUCAGAGGGGGGUAGAAUUCCACGUGUAGCAGUGAAAUGCGUAGAGAUGUGGAGGAAUACCGAUGGCGAAGGCAGCCCCCUGGGAUAACACUGACGCUCAUGCACGAAAGCGUGGGGAGCAAACAGGAUUAGAUACCUUGGUAGUCCACCCCGCCCUAAACGAUGUCAAACUAGUUGUUGGGGAUUCUUGUUUUCCCUUGGCUAACGUAGCUAACGCGUGAAGUUGAUCGCGGCUGGGGUGUAUGGUCGCAGAUAUACNCCGNGNUNUUNUGNNNNNCACCGAAUAC
Molecule: ribosomal RNA, 962 nt
Filed under: Ralstonia pickettii
Lineage: Bacteria; Pseudomonadati; Pseudomonadota; Betaproteobacteria; Burkholderiales; Burkholderiaceae
Description: bacterial SSU rRNA
Rfam family: Bacterial small subunit ribosomal RNA
Source: RNAcentral